CAGGAAAUAGUUUAAGCUUAGAAUGCUAGCUUUGGGGGUUAGCGGUGGGAGUUAAAAUCUCUUUUUUCUGG
This 71-nucleotide transfer RNA is filed under the name Hydrolycus scomberoides (payara). Its description in RNAcentral is "tRNA-Pro". It matches the Rfam family "tRNA". From Rfam's summary of the family: Transfer RNA (tRNA) molecules are approximately 80 nucleotides in length. Their secondary structure includes four short double-helical elements and three loops (D, anti-codon, and T loops). Lineage: Eukaryota; Metazoa; Chordata; Actinopteri; Characiformes; Characidae. The record is from RNAcentral.